Molecule: non-coding RNA, 89 nt
Organism: Enterococcus faecalis
Lineage: Bacteria; Bacillati; Bacillota; Bacilli; Lactobacillales; Enterococcaceae
Source: Rfam
CUAUAAUAGCAUUGAAAAGAGAGAUAUGCUGUAACAUACCUCUCUAGUGUAGAGCCGUUUAAGACGGUGACCGAUUUUGUUACAAAAAA